Acanthosepion pharaonis is the source of this 113-nucleotide non-coding RNA. NCBI's taxonomy places the organism in Eukaryota, Metazoa, Mollusca, Cephalopoda, Sepiida, Sepiidae. The record is from the annotation of a GenBank genome assembly.
UACAGCCAUAUCCAUUUGAAACACCAGUUCUCAUGCAAUCACCAAAGCUAAGCAACAUUGAGCCUUGUCAGUACCUAGAUGGGUGACCACUUGGAAAUACCAGGUGUUGUAAG